AUCUUCCUCUUCGCCUAUGAUUCUGUUUCUUACUGAAAUAUUUUGUGGCUGUUGAUUUGUUGAUUUCUCUCAUGGUCCCAAUGACUGAGUAUUUCAGUGUGCGGCGAAGGAAGCUUCAAUUAGGUCUUCUCAGUGAUCUUAAACGCUUUCCGUUGACAAUGCCAUGUUUCCCUAGCUAGGAAAGUUGUGAGUUUGUGUGUUCCUUCUCAUACUUCAAAGUUACAUGUCAAUUGAAAACACUUGCGUGAAUGGCUUGUUUUAUUUGAGUUAAAUUUUCUUGACUUGUUCCUACUUAUUCUCAUAGCACAGUUUGUUUGAUGAUACACUACAGAACUGGGACCACAACCACGACAAGAAGCAUAUGCUUAAGUGAUGUGGAGGAGAUCACAUAAGAAGGAAGACAGAUGAGACAGAGAGAAGACAUAUGCGAUUGAUGAGUUUUGUGAUGUUGCAGGGAUUGAUGAAGAAGUUGACGAACUUCCAAAGAAAAUGGUCGAUCAUGAUUACGUGGAGUAUAACAACUCUUCCAUAACGAGUUCCUGUCAGGCUCACUCUCCAUGGCUCUCUGCUUAACAUCAUUUCCCCUUUAUAAGUCUGGUGCAAGAAGCUUGACGUCAGAGAAGGCAAGGCGUCGUGCUGUGGAGAUGCGAAUCGUGGUGUGGUGCAGCACUAGGAGAUAGAUCUUUAGGUUCUAAAAUUUUAGGUGUAGCUUUGGAAGGUGAAGAACACUUGGCAUCAGAUAGAUCUUCAAGACACUUGUACUCCACUAUUAUCAUCUUGGUGGUCAUGGCGAUGAUAGUGAAGACUUAGCUUUAGGUUUAGCUAUAGGUUUAUGUUUUGGUUUAGUUAUGGUUUAGAUUUUUGGUUUUGUUUUUGGUUAUUUAGUAAACAAUUUCGAUAUAUACAAUUUUAAAAUAUUUUUUA
Molecule: long non-coding RNA, 924 nt
Organism: Brassica napus (rape)
Lineage: Eukaryota; Viridiplantae; Streptophyta; Magnoliopsida; Brassicales; Brassicaceae
Exons: 2
Source: RefSeq, a predicted model, not a curated record